RNAcentral lists this ribosomal RNA (230 nucleotides) under uncultured bacterium. RNAcentral describes it as "partial 16S ribosomal RNA". It matches the Rfam family "Bacterial small subunit ribosomal RNA", at positions 118 to 350 of the family's 1533-position model. The record is from RNAcentral.
UGGGCAACCUGCCCUCAGCUCUGGGAUAACUCCGGGAAACCGGGGCUAAUACCGGAUACGAGACCGAUUGGCAUCUUUACGGUCUGGAAAGUUUUUCGGCCAGGGAUGGGCUCGCGGCCCAUCAGCUUGUUGGUGGGUAACGGCCCACCAAGGCGACGACGGGUAGCCGGCCUGAGAGGGCGACCGGCCACACUGGGACUGAGACACGGCCCAGACUCCUACGGGAGGCA